Rhinopithecus roxellana (golden snub-nosed monkey) is the source of this 1564-nucleotide RNA transcript. It is a transcript of the gene named protein phosphatase inhibitor 2 pseudogene, with no coding region annotated. The transcript has a single exon. NCBI's taxonomy places the organism in Eukaryota, Metazoa, Chordata, Mammalia, Primates, Cercopithecidae. The record is from RefSeq and is a predicted model, not a curated record.
AUGGCGGCCUGGACAACCUCGCACCGGUCAAUCAAGGGGAUCCUGAAGACAACUUCCUCUGUGGUGGCGUCUGCCGAACAGCCCCACGGGAAUGUGGACGAGUUGCUGAGCAAAAAAUCCCGGAAGUGGGAUGAAAUGAACAUCCUGGCGAUAUAUCAUCCAGCAGACAAAGACUAUGGUUUAAUGAAAACAGAUGAACCAAGCACUUCUUCCCAUUGUAUUAUGGGUGAUGAUGAAGAUGCAUGUAGUGAUACAGACACCACUGAAAACACGGCACCAGAUAUCUUAGCUAAGAAAUUAGCUGCUGCUGAAGGCUCGGAACCAAAGUAUCGGGUUCAGGAACAAGACAGCAGUGGAAAAGAGGAUAGUAACCUCUCACCUGAAGAACAAGAAAAAAAGUGACAAUUUGAAAUGAAAAGGAAGCUUCAUUACAAUGAAGGACUCAAUAUCAAACUAGCUGGACAGUUUCAAAAAACCUACAUGAUGAUGACGAAGAUGAAAAAAUGUUAGAGACUGCAGAUGGAGAAAGCAUGAAUAAGGAGGAAUCAAAUCAAGGAUCUACUGCAAGUGACCAACGGCAAAACAAAUCACGAAGUUCAUAGAACAGAUUGGUUCAACGCUGUAAUUGUUAGAUAUAAACCCUGUUACUAUAAUUGCUUCUUGUUCUCCACAAAUCAUGACUUAAGUACCAAAAUGCAUACCAGUUAUUAUAUAUUGCCAAAAAUUACAUGAUAAACUUAGAGACUGAUUAGACUGAAAAUGCCUAAUAGAUGUAUAUAUUCUUGUGCCUAGUUCUUUACCACCAAUACAGUGUAAUAUCAUCAGUCCAAAAUUGAACUACUUUUGGAAAUACACUGGUCAAUUUGUAUUAGAUAUUAUAUAGCUUUUUAUGCUUUAGAGGUUAAACAAUAUAUUUGGGGGAAACUAUUUUCAUCACUCUGAAUGUGGUGGUAGCUCUUAUAAAGUUUGUCGGCUUUUUUUUUUUUAAUCAAAAGCCAACUGAACAACAGGACAUAUAGACUGAUAAAUAUUCAGGCUGAAUAGUAUUUUAACACUUGUCUUCAACUUGAUUUGUCUGUUUAAUUGAAAAGGAUUUUAAGAGUUACUCUUGCAUUUUCUGGCCUACUACCUUUAAAACUCCUGUUGUGUUUCUUUGUAUUUACAAGGAAAGGACUGAACUUUUUCUCAUCAAAACUGGCUUUUUUCCCACAAAUAAAUUAUCAGGUUAAACUUGCACUAAUGUCUGCUCUGUUGUUUUGGUUUUUUUCUAUUUUAUAUUUUUGGUACACUGGGCAGACUUCAGAGCACCUUUUUUUCAAUAAAUAUUCUAAUGUAGCUAUCUCGGCAUUCCCUUUAAAUACCUGUCUUAACCUCCUGCUUUUAUUUCUUACUCCUUUCCACACAUACGCACACAAUCCUUUACCUUUCAAAGGAUCAUUAAGAUUACAUUGGGAACUCUUUCUGUCACUCUUCUGUGAUUUGCUGCAAUAUUGAAAUUCUUAUUUUGACCAUCAAUGCCUAUUCAUUCUUCUAAUACAUGAAGAAAAUAGAUUAAGUAGCAGCA